AUUGAACGCUGGCGGCAUGCUUUACACAUGCAAGUCGAACGGUAACAGGCCUUCGGGUGCUGACGAGUGGCGAACGGGUGAGUAAUGCAUCGGAACGUACCCAGAGGUGGGGGAUAACGCAGCGAAAGCUGUGCUAAUACCGCAUGUGAUCUGAGGAUGAAAGCGGGGGACCGAGCAGCAAUGUUUGGCCUCGCGCCUUUGGAGCGGCCGAUGUCGGAUUAGCUAGUUGGUGGGGUAAAGGCCUACCAAGGCGACGAUCCGUAGCUGGUCUGAGAGGACGACCAGCCACACUGGGACUGAGACACGGCCCAGACUCCUACGGGAGGCAGCAGUGGGGAAUUUUGGACAAUGGGCGCAAGCCUGAUCCAGCAAUGCCGCGUGCGGGAAGAAGGCCUUCGGGUUGUAAACCGUUUUUGGCAGGAACGAAACGGUGUCCGCUAAUACCGGGCGCUAAUGACGGUACCUGCAGAAUAAGCACCGGCUAACUACGUG
Molecule: ribosomal RNA, 492 nt
Filed under: uncultured bacterium
Lineage: Bacteria
Description: partial 16S ribosomal RNA
Rfam family: Bacterial small subunit ribosomal RNA
Source: RNAcentral